CUCCCAUAUCCUCCCAUAUUAUCCUCUCAUAUCAUUUCCCCUUAGGUACAACAAAGAUCCUGAAUGUUUUGCUAAAAACUAUUAUAAUGUUAUCUUCAAGAAAUGCCGUCACCCUUAAACAUCUGCAGCUCCUUUAUUUACCCUCAGACUUCUUUAGCAAGCUGACAGUGCUUUGAAUCUUAGUAGAUUCUUCUCAACAAAGGAGAAAUACCAAGGCAAUAUGCCUAUAGCCAGACCUCACUUGAGCUCCCCGAUAGGGCCAAUGGAAAGAUUCAAAGUCAAGAAGAGGCAUCUGGAUCCUCAACUGUUUUUCAGGUCUACAAAGUUUAAAGAGUAUCUCAUAUCCUAGGUGUCCUUUGCUCCCACUUUUUUUUUUUUUUAUUUUUUAUUUUUCCCAUGAAAUUCAUUUUAGUUUGGGGUAGGAGGGGGAAAAAAUGAGCACCUUGGAGAGACAGUUGCCAAUGGAGAUCUCCUGUACUGGGUUUUGUCAGCUGGAAUCAAAUUGCACAUCUAGCAAGGCUGUCACUCAAAGGUGACUCAUUUGUAUGACAGCAUGAACUGAACCAUGCCUUUUCCGUGCUGCACGGUAAAUGUUAUGUAAACACUGAGGAUGUCUUCAUGCAUGGAUUAGGAGGAGGAUUGCACAAGUUUUCAAGGUACUGUGCUGCUUCAUUUGGGAGAACUCAUCAAGGCGCAGGGCGAGCUGCAUGUGGUUACUGUCUUGCCGGGAUGUGCUAAACUGUGAGUGGUAUCAUGGGGCUGUGGCACAUAUCCACACCCCGUUCACAACUGCACCCAACUGCUCCGAGUAGCAGCAAAGAAAAACAAACAAACCUGGGACAUCCCAUUAUGUGGGCUGGAGGAGUGCGUUUCGACCAGUGAAGCAAUUUUCCUAAAGGAACACAAGGACCUCACUGCUCAGUUCAGGGGCAGACAGUGCUGGUGGAACAGGACCAGGACUCCUCUCCAUGCCUGGGAUGCCCCAAGCCUAAUUUAUUACCUGUCAUCCAAAAAAAAAAAAAAAAAAGGCAAAAACAGUGCUUUUUUUUUUUUUUUUUUUUUUUUCCCUAAGCUUUUAAAUGGCCCUUAUUGGUCCACCAGACUGUUUCCUAGACCUCAAGAAUUUAUCUUUAAAAAACCUCGAUAAGCUUUUUAAAGUAUUAUAUGUAUAUAAACGUAUAUGUACAUGGAAGAGGGUUGUUUUUGGUUGGUUGGUUUUUUAAUAGCUGGAGUACAGAGAAAGACUAAAAUCCU
Molecule: long non-coding RNA, 1254 nt
Filed under: Anas platyrhynchos platyrhynchos (common mallard)
Lineage: Eukaryota; Metazoa; Chordata; Aves; Anseriformes; Anatidae
Description: lncRNA (ENSAPLG00000031141.1)
Source: RNAcentral